This 253-nucleotide ribosomal RNA is filed under the name uncultured bacterium. Its description in RNAcentral is "partial 16S ribosomal RNA". It matches the Rfam family "Bacterial small subunit ribosomal RNA", at positions 524 to 776 of the family's 1533-position model. The record is from RNAcentral.
UACAGAGGCCCCAAGCGUUACUGAGAAUCACUGGGCUUAAAGGGUGCGUAGGCGGUCCGUUGAGUUCGUUGUGAAAUCCCUGGGCUCAACCCAGGAAAUGCUUCGAAUACUGGCGGACUUGAGGCUAGUAGGGGUUACUGGAACUGACGGUGGAGCGGUGAAAUGCGUAGAUAUCGUCAGGAACGCCAAUGGUGAAGACAGGUGACUGGGCUAGUUCUGACACUGAGGCACGAAAGCGUGGGGAGCAAACGGG